AGAGUUUGAUCAUGGCUCAGGAUAAACGCUGGCGGCGUGCCUAACACAUGCAAGUCGAACGCCCCUGUGCAAACAGGGAGUGGCGGACGGGUGAGGAACACGUGGGUAUCUGCCCUGGGGUGAGGAAUACCGGCGAGAAAUCGCCGACAAUACCGCAUAGGCUCCGCAAGGAGCAAAGUCGCAAGACGCCCUGGGAUGAG
This 200-nucleotide ribosomal RNA is filed under the name uncultured bacterium. Its description in RNAcentral is "partial 16S ribosomal RNA". It matches the Rfam family "Bacterial small subunit ribosomal RNA", at positions 8 to 229 of the family's 1533-position model. The record is from RNAcentral.